This 497-nucleotide ribosomal RNA is filed under the name uncultured bacterium. RNAcentral describes it as "partial 16S ribosomal RNA". It matches the Rfam family "Bacterial small subunit ribosomal RNA", at positions 28 to 507 of the family's 1533-position model. The record is from RNAcentral.
GAUGAACGCUGGCGGCGUGCCUAAUACAUGCAAGUCGAGCGAACGGACGAGAAGCUUGCUUCUCUGAUGUUAGCGGCGGACGGGUGAGUAACACGUGGAUAACCUACCUAUAAGACUGGGAUAACUUCGGGAAACCGGAGCUAAUACCGGAUAAUAUUUUGAACCGCAUGGUUCAAAAGUGAAAGACGGUCUUGCUGUCACUUAUAGAUGGAUCCGCGCUGCAUUAGCUAGUUGGUAAGGUAACGGCUUACCAAGGCAACGAUGCAUAGCCGACCUGAGAGGGUGAUCGGCCACACUGGAACUGAGACACGGUCCAGACUCCUACGCGAGGCAGCAGUAGGGAAUCUUCCGCCAUGGGCGAAAGCCUGACGGAGCAACGCCGCGUGAGUGAUGAAGGUCUUCGGAUCGUAAAACUCUGUUAUUAGGGAAGAACAUAUGUGUAAGUAACUGUGGACAUCUUGACGGUACCUAAUCAGAAAGCCACGGCUAACUACGUG